RNAcentral lists this non-coding RNA (99 nucleotides) under Staphylococcus haemolyticus. Its description in RNAcentral is "SAM riboswitch (S box leader)". It matches the Rfam family "SAM riboswitch aptamer (S box leader)". From Rfam's summary of the family: The SAM riboswitch is found upstream of a number of genes which code for proteins involved in methionine or cysteine biosynthesis in Gram-positive bacteria. Lineage: Bacteria; Bacillati; Bacillota; Bacilli; Caryophanales; Staphylococcaceae. The record is from RNAcentral.
UCUUAUUAAGAGUGAGUGGAGGGAAUUGGCCCUAUGAAGCUCCAGCAACUGCGUUUGACGUGAGGUGCUAAAUCCAACAGGGAUUCCUGAAAGAUAAGA